AGAGUUUGAUCAUGGCUCAGAUUGAACGCUGGCGGAAUGCUUUACACAUGCAAGCCGAGCGGCAGCGCGGGGCAACCUGGCGGCGAGCGGCGAACGGGUGAGUAAUACAUCGGAACGUGCCCAGACGUGGGGGAUAACUACUCGAAAGAGUGGCUAAUACCGCAUACGAUCUGAGGAUGAAAGCGGGGGAUCGCAAGACCUCGCGCGUCUGGAGCGGCCGAUGGCAGAUUAGGUAGUUGGUGAGGUAAAGGCUUACCAAGCCUGCGAUCUGUAGCUGGUCUGAGAGGAUGAUCAGCCACACUGGGACUGAGACACGGCCCAGACUCCUACGGGAGGCAGCAGUGGGGAAUUUUGGACAAUGGGCGAAAGCCUGAUCCAGCCAUUCCGCGUGCAGGAUGAAGGCCCUCGGGUUGUAAACUGCUUUUGUACGGAACGAAAAAGCUCCGGCUAAUACCUGGAGUCCAUGACGGUACCGUAAGAAUAAGCACCGGCUAACUACGUGCCAGCAGCCGCGGUAAUACGUAGGGUGCAAGCGUUAAUCGGAAUUACUGGGCGUAAAGCGUGCGCAGGCGGUUUUGUAAGACAGAGGUGAAAUCCCCGGGCUCAACCUGGGAACUGCCUUUGUGACUGCAAGGCUGGAGUGCGGCAGAGGGGGAUGGAAUUCCGCGUGUAGCAGUGAAAUGCGUAGAUAUGCGGAGGAACACCGAUGGCGAAGGCAAUCCCCUGGGCCUGCACUGACGCUCAUGCACGAAAGCGUGGGGAGCAAACAGAUUAGAUACCCUGCUAGUCCACGCCCUAAACGAUGUCAACUGGUUGUUGGGAAUUCAUUUUCUCAGUAACGAGCUAACGCGUGAAAGUUGACCGCCUGGGGAGUA
This 875-nucleotide ribosomal RNA is filed under the name uncultured Burkholderiales bacterium. RNAcentral's name for it is "bacterial SSU rRNA". It matches the Rfam family "Bacterial small subunit ribosomal RNA", at positions 8 to 882 of the family's 1533-position model. Lineage: Bacteria; Pseudomonadati; Pseudomonadota; Betaproteobacteria; Burkholderiales. The record is from RNAcentral.